This is a non-coding RNA of Misgurnus anguillicaudatus (oriental weatherfish), 1241 nucleotides long. NCBI's taxonomy places the organism in Eukaryota, Metazoa, Chordata, Actinopteri, Cypriniformes, Cobitidae. The record is from RefSeq and is a predicted model, not a curated record.
GUCUAAUUUCAACUCGCUCUCGCGGUAACUUUGACUUCACCCUCCUGUCAUUUCUUGCUUUGCCGCUUGAAGUCGAACACACUAGUGGUUCGCGUGCAUGAUGUUUUGCCGCGCAGUGUUGUGAUUCGCUUAUUUCCUAUUUACUUGUCACCUAUUGGUGGCAUUGUCAUCAGACCCCCCCCCAAAAAAAACUCUUUGGAUCUGCACGAGUCACACAAGUCACCCAAACUGCCGUGAAAAAGCGGGAGGCGCCGAAAAGCGCCGUGUUUGCAUCCCUGAAGGUAAGUAUAAUUGAUUUUUCAAUUCAUUUGCAAGCCCCUGGCGAUUAAAGGUAAAUGUUUUGCCUAUACUCUUGUGUGCUUAUCAUUAUAAAUGACCCCUAAAUGUAAUUUAAUCUCAAUUCCAGGACAGUCAGCCUGGGAGAGUUACAAAAUGGAAAGCUUGUGAACAGCAGAAUGGUGGUUGUAAGAUUUACUGAGCAAGAGGCGAGUGUCCCCUUAAUAAUGGCCAAAGUGAAAGAUGCCUUAGGAAGCAACGAAGAAAUGAUCCUGACAGACCACAACGGAGUGGAAAUUUUAGACUCAGAAGGAACAAGAGGCUCCUUUUACUGGAAGCAGAACUCAUGAAAAGUCAUGGCUGUACCGGAGGCUGACUUCCGUGCUGUGCAACAAAAGAAGCAGAGAAUCUCACGCAGAGAUGAUGAGGGCGGACUGGACGGUGUGUUCGAGAAAAUUUAGGAGGUUGUCCUGGCCGCACAGGGUUUAUCUGAAGUGACUACUGCCAUCCUGGAACUCUCUGACGUGGUCCGUCAAAACAGAAAGACAACAUUAGUACUGACUGAAGAACAGUCCAGGAAUGUGAGAGGUUCCUUAAAAAUAGCAUUAUUCAAAACAAAUGCAAAAGCCAUGUCUUUGUUUGUAUGUUUAAGUGUGGCUUGAUUAAUGGGAACUUUGUGUUUUGUUGUAUUCCCUUUGAAAGUUCAGUAGCUGUGUGUGACAAAAAUAAUGCCAGCAAACUGUAUGUCCUCAUGUGUUCUACUGUAUUUUAUGCGGUGAUAUUCUGGCAAUCACAGCUGCCGGAAAUUUACUGUAGAUCAAACUGCAAUAAAAUACUGUGAUAUAUGAUACAGUUGUGAUGUGUUUUUCAUAGUGAAAGAAUGUAAUGGGGUUAACAGAAUAUGUGGUAUUUCACAUUAGUUUACUGUAAACAGCUUCACAUUAUUGAUGUUGUUUAGCAGUAAA